ACGCUCGACACCUACGGGAGGCAGCAGUGGGGAAUAUUGCACAAUGGGGGAAACCCUGAUGCAGCGACGCCGCGUGGAGGAAGAAGGUCUUCGGAUUGUAAACUCCUGUUGUUGGGAAAAAGAGGAUGGUACCCAACAAGGAAGUGACGGCUAACUACGUGCCAGCAGUGCGGUAAUCUGAGGCGGGCGUGGCAAGGC
Molecule: ribosomal RNA, 198 nt
Filed under: uncultured bacterium
Lineage: Bacteria
Description: partial 16S ribosomal RNA
Rfam family: Bacterial small subunit ribosomal RNA
Source: RNAcentral